CCCGGCACUCGACCCAUUCCUUUUUGGUAUCGGGCGGUUAUCGACUAUGGCGUUAUUGGCGCUCUCGUUCCCCAUUGGCACCAAAAAAAGGAAAGCAAGAAGAACACCGGAACAGUCCACGACGGAACAAACUACACCCUUGUCUCCGGCGAUCUUCUCCGGGCUCUGGCUUCGAUAUUGCGGAGUUUGAGUCGUCUGCUCAUUGUUUGAUUGUGACAACUCUGAUUUCAGCUUAAGAAAGAGACCGCCAAUCGGUGCUUGAAAUUCGGCCGGAGAAAGAUUCCAGUCGAAGGGAUGAUAAAUCUAGCUAAACGUGUGGAGCAUCUCCGAGACCACCAGAUCCUGUCCCAGCACAAGUGUCCUGCUCUCACUAUCUUCUCUCCUAAAUCCCAUAUCGUUUCCUGGGUUGAUGUAGCUGUGGCUAUCUUUUGGGCCUUGGUGUUCAGCAUCUUGUCAUAUCAUCCUACUUAACCCUGUACUUCAGGCGCUUCUGGCUUUAUUUUUUCAUUGGUGUUUCCUUCCUAUACGCCUAAGAAGUUCUAGGCAGGCACUGAAUCGGAAGAGGGAAAGAAGAUUGUUGUUACCUUUGUCCAUGUGAAUGUUCUAUACUCUUAAGUGCUUGCAGAAGUAUCUCGUUUCUUGCCUGGGUUAAAUACACCACUUUCAAUCAUGUGCCUUAUGCAAGUACAUACAUGAAGCUUGGAACACUGCUCUUAGGCAAUCAGGAUUGUCACCGCCUUCUCUAAGGUUGAUGGGCUAUGUUGCAUUGAUGAUGUCUUGCACGAGGGUACCAUAUUGGACCAUUAGAAGAAAAGGAUGGGCACCAUGUGAUUCUCGAGCAGGUAUAUUUAACAGUAGGUCUUCAAGGUUAUUAUUUGCUUGACUCUGGAUGGCUUCAAUUAUGAACCUAUAUUUGUAUCUUUUCUUAUCUGAUGAGAAAAUUGAGGCCAAUAUCAUAGAAUUUUCCCCCUCCCAUAAAAAAUGUCAUGGCACCCAUGUUUUAGUCAUGGGUUUCUAAAAUUUUGAAAUACUUGUGCACAUGAUUAGUGAAAUUCAGUCUGUUCUCUA
Long non-coding RNA from Tripterygium wilfordii, 1068 nucleotides. RefSeq lists it as uncharacterized. The transcript is spliced from 3 exons. The record is from RefSeq and is a predicted model, not a curated record. NCBI's taxonomy places the organism in Eukaryota, Viridiplantae, Streptophyta, Magnoliopsida, Celastrales, Celastraceae.